GUUCGCCGGGUCCUGCGCAGCAAUGCGUCUGCUUGCUGGUGGAAUUCGCCAGCCGCCAGCCUCGCUGGCCCAGGUGCUUGACAGCAUCAAAGGUCAAAGUGUGUUCUUCAUGCUAACAUCUAUGAGAAAACCGAACGCUUCUUUUUCUGAAAGUGCUCAGAUUUAUUCUGCUGAAUAUCGGUUCGUACAAACGACAGCCGCAUUACAGUUUAUUGUCACAUCAAAAGGGAAAGGCCAAAAAAAUAUAUAACUUAGGCAAGAUUUUUGAAACUUUAUUGAAACUCGAAAGACAAACUGCUGUCUCUUCCUCCAGUGAUGUUCUUCCUCCUUCAAUCUCUACCUUCCCCAAAAUGAUGUACAUACAGCCCUUAGAUGAGAAAACGUUUAUUGAAGAUGGUUGUCUCAACUUCCAAACCUUCAGCCUUGUCUCUCCGCUCAACCUUUUUUUAAAAAUAAAACUUCAUCUGAUUUUAAUCGACUAUUGCCAUCAUCGUCGAUAAAUGUUUCUUGACAGAAUACUGCUGAUUCUGAGAAUUGGGAAAGAAAGAAAUUGUCCAGAUAGUUCUCUGAUAUACUUGGGAAGGACAUACAUCUUUAUUUAUUUAUUUAUUCAUUAUUUAUUCAAUAAUGGUGUAAUGUGACAUGUGCUAAAUUUCUAAAUGAAAGGUGUCAAUAAUAAGGGCUACAGGAUCUGGGAGCAGGGAGUCAUUUCGGACGGCAGAAGAUGCGUCAGGAGGAAAUAUUCAGACUGAAAGGACUGCAAUAAGUAAAAAGUGGGACGAUGAAAGGGCAGAUGUCUGAAUGGAAUGCUGCCAGGCUUCUUCCAGGAACAACAAAUGAGUGCCUUUUACAUUUGUCAUGUGUUGACUGAAUAAAAGUAUACCACUCUUAAACUUUCAAAUAUCAACACCAAUCCUUGAUGCUUCCCUUUAAGCAUUUUCCGCAAAAGCUGUCUUCCUGAAUCCUGAUUGAUGUCUUUGUUCUUCAUCAUCAUCGAGAUACUUAAAAAUCAUUUGAAGAAGCCACCUGAUAUCUGGAACAAAGAGCAUAUUAAAUUAGUCCCAAUGCAGCCAUGCAUCCAGGGGGCCCUUGAUUAAUGUUAAUUGGUGAUGACAGCAUCUCUGUCGUGUAAAUUAAGAAUGGCACAAACAAGACACAGUGGAACAUAGAACAAAAGUCAUCUGCAGGAAGGCAGCCCAUCUUACAGAGUAAGAAAGGCACAACUUUGGUUGUGCACACAGCUUUGUUACCACAAAAUGCUAAGGUGAGAUCAGCAAAAGCAAGUGUGUAGAAUGUAGCCUGCCUGCUAAACAAGCGCAAUGAUCACUGCAGAAGAGCUCUGCUGAGCAGGGAGUAAAUGACAGGAAAACCAAACAGCAGAUUGUAAAAAUAACUCAGUCACAUCCCAGGCUUGCUAGAGAAGUAUCAUAAAGACUUAAGGAAGAAGAUUUUACUUUGCUAUUGUUAAACAAAAGCCUACCCAAGUUUAAGAGGCAAAGAUAUAGGAAUGGGAAAAAAAAAAGUGACUACCUUAGUAAAUGAGUUUUGUAGCCUGUGUUUUACCAGCUCUUAUCUUCUCUGCUACUGCAGGAAACAGUACCCAGUACCCUACAAAGCUCCACCCAUGUUUUGGGGAGUCCCUAGGAGGUAUUUCACAUGUGCUCGCAGCAACCACAUAGCGUAUGCCGGGCAGCACUGCCCCUUGUUCCAAUAGCCAUGCAUCUGUAGGUGUCACUCUUGCUGCUGGCUAUCACAGCCACUUUAGCUUGGUACUGAGUCUUCACUGGGCACAGCAACUGGGUACAGCCACUCCUCAAACUGCCUGGCAUUGGUGGUAAUCUAUGGCAAAGCACCUCUCCUUUUUGCGUUACCCUCUUUGAAGUGAGUAACACUAUGUCUUAGAGAGCCUUCUUUUCAUUUGUGUUUUAGCCUUUCUCAUCGCCAAAGGGCUCAAAAUGAAGUCCGUGGAGUCUAAGCCAAAAAGUAAUUCCUCAAGUGACAGAUCUCAUGCUAUGCUUCUCUCUUCCACUAGCUAAGGCCCUCUUACUGGGACAGUGGUAUCACACCUGGCUCACUCUUCCCUUUGUUGAUUUCUCUAUUUCUCAUAGGAAUAGAUUUCUGUCUAUUGCUCGUGAGAGACUGAAUUUGCACAACCUAUAUGAAGGGCAUUUUGGCAAUUUGAUCCAGGAGUUCCUCUUCUAUAAAUUUAUCUUACAGAUAGACUCACACAUAUGUGAAAAAAAAUAUUCAUUUAAAGUUGUUUAAUGUACUGUUUCUAGUUACAAAAGGUUGAAAACUACCUAAAUGUCCAUUUAGAGAGAACUAGUCAAAUACAUUACGGUUCAUCCAAAUUCAAAGAGUAGCGCAGGUUGUUCUGCUCCUUUGGGCCUUCUGAUCCUGCAUGGAUAUGUUAGGUCCAGCUAGGAAAACAGACCCUACACAAGGCAUUUCAACAAAGAGAACUUAAUAUAAGCUAUUGGUUCAUUAGCUAUUGAAGAACUUAAAGCCAAAAGGAUAAAGAAGAGGAACUCCAGGAAGCAGCUCAUACUGUAAGGCUGAGAGAACAAAAGGAAAAUGUUGAGGUUACUAGAAUGCGGAGGUUUGUAGGAGAGGCCUCCUGGAGUUGGUCAGACCGCUGAGAAAGGGCCACUGCCCCACUGGUGGGGUGCCUCUGAGGGGACAAAAUGAGACUCUCUGGGAACGUCUGGAAAAGAGACAAGCUGGAGACUGCAAUGAACUGCCACUGUGGGGUAGAAGAUCACUGUUCAGGUGCUGCGGGGAGGAACAGCAAACAAAACAGAGCAUCCCAGUCUUUCCCUAGCUUCCUUUCUUGGCAAACAUAACAGGGAGCUGGCCAUGUGAUUUGCACAGUCUGAAGGGUGAGACUGGAACUGACAUGCAACAGCUUAUUAACUUGCACACUUCCAUACAACCCCUAACAAGCAAGAAGCACCUCUUUAUGAGCUAACAUAGAAGACUCUCAAAGAAAAGAAGCAAGGCUUAGAAGACUGUUUAUGGUAUACCAUCAGUUGAAAUAAAAGAAAGACGAGUGAAUAAAAGAAAAAAAAAACUGUCCUAUGAUGUCGCAUAAUGAUGUCAUUCACAGGCACUUUCUCCCUCACUCAUGAGUCCAACUCCAUUAGCGGCAGCUAUAAAGAAAAGAGCAUUUUAUUCAGUUUACUGGUAAGAUAUGGAAACUUUAAGUUAUUGAUAGUUACCACUGAGGCUAUUUUCCUUAAAUAAAAUAACUCCAUUGGCCCUUUCUAGAUUUAUCUUGACAUAUACCUCACGAUAAGGCUGUUGCUCCUUUUAGAGACAAAAACAUAUCAAAAUCCUUUGAGGCAAA
This 3346-nucleotide long non-coding RNA is filed under the name Homo sapiens (human). RNAcentral's name for it is "non-protein coding lnc-RAP1B-5:3". Lineage: Eukaryota; Metazoa; Chordata; Mammalia; Primates; Hominidae. The record is from RNAcentral.